Molecule: ribosomal RNA, 474 nt
Filed under: Pseudomonas cedrina
Lineage: Bacteria; Pseudomonadati; Pseudomonadota; Gammaproteobacteria; Pseudomonadales; Pseudomonadaceae
Description: bacterial SSU rRNA
Rfam family: Bacterial small subunit ribosomal RNA
Source: RNAcentral
ACACAUGCAGUCGAGCGGUAGAGAGAAGCUUGCUUCUCUUGAGAGCGGCGGACGGGUGAGUAAUGCCUAGGAACUGCCUGGUAGUGGGGGAUAACGUUCGGAAACGGACGAUAAUACCGCAUACGUCCUACGGGAGAAAGCAGGGGACCUUCGGGCCUUGCGCUAUCAGAUGAGCCUAGGUCGGAUUAGCUAGUUGGUGAGGUAAUGGCUCACCAAGGCGACGAUCCGUAACUGGUCUGAGAGGAUGAUCAGUCACACUGGAACUGAGACACGGUCCAAACUCCUACGGGAGGCAACAGUGGGGAAUAUUGGACAAUGGGCGAAAGCCUGAUCCAGCCAUGCCGCGUGUGUGAAGAAGGUCUUCGGAUUGUAAAGCACUUUAAGUUGGGAGGAAGGGUUGUAGAUUAAUACUCUGCAAUUUUGACGUUACCGACAGAAUAAGCACCGGCUAACUACGUGCCAGCAGCCGCACGU